GAUGAAGAACGUAGCGAAAUGCGAUAAGUAGUGUGAAUUGCAGAAUUCAGUGAAUCAUCGAAUCUUUGAACGCACAUUGCGCCCCUUGGUAUUCCAUGGGGCAUGCCUGUUCGAGCGUCAUUUACACCCUCAAGCUCUGCUUGGUGUUGGGCGUCUGUCCCGCUGCUUUGCGCGGACUCGCCUCAAAGGUAUUGGCAGCGAUCAUGCCAGCUUCUCGCGCAGCACAUUGCGCUUCUUGAAGUUCUGGUGGAUCAGCGUCCAUUAAGCUUACCUUCAUGACUUGACCUCGGAUCAGGUAGGGAUACCCGCUGAACUUAAGCAUAUCAAUAAGCGGAGA
This 337-nucleotide unclassified non-coding RNA is filed under the name soil metagenome. Its description in RNAcentral is "partial contains 5.8S ribosomal RNA, internal transcribed spacer 2, and large subunit ribosomal RNA". The stretch from base 1 to 120 matches the Rfam family "5.8S ribosomal RNA", at positions 35 to 154 of the family's 154-position model. The record is from RNAcentral.